RNAcentral lists this long non-coding RNA (1512 nucleotides) under Mus musculus (house mouse). RNAcentral's name for it is "long non-coding RNA chr15:62264400-62265912". Lineage: Eukaryota; Metazoa; Chordata; Mammalia; Rodentia; Muridae. The record is from RNAcentral.
UUUUUUUUUUUUUUUGACAGAAGGAUGCUCCCUAUUCUCUUCUGAUGUUUGCCAGGAUGUCACAGGGAUACUUUCUCCUCAGUCUCCAUUUUACUGCUAAGAACAAUUUUCUCCCAUCUGAAAGCCAUAGAGUGUCAGGUCAGUCACAAGUGGGGUGCUGUUUUAAAGUGUGGAAGAACCUGGUAUAAGACUCCCUGUCAAGACAGCUACCUCUCUGGGACAAACACCAGUAUGAGCUAGGACCAAUGAUCGCCUUUAUCAGAGGAGGAAGAGCUGGUCAGUUCCUUUGUCAUUCUCUCCUCCCUCUCCUGGUACAACAUGAUCAGUGUGCUGCCCACGGGACUCCCUUCCUGCCCAGCUUGGGACAGGCUGGCUUCUUCCUGCCUGGCUUGGGCUUUGCCACUGCCUAUGCCACUCUGUUGCUCUGUGUGUAAUGUGUGGAACUGAUUUCCUGUCUGAGAUAGCUUUUGUUACUAAACCUUGACAGAAACUUAAAAGAGAAAGAAUUUAUUUCAGUGUAUGGUGUCGGAAGGGUUAGCCUAUCAUUAAAGGGCAGGUGGAGGAGAACAGCCUAAAACAUGGAGAUGAGAUGUGGGGAAAGGUAAAAGUUUGGUCUUCUAGCAACAUCCCCCUUAGAUUGGAGUCUUCCCCUUUGCUUAAUUUUCUGUGACCCUUAGACAAUCCCAGAAUGUGGUCAGCCUCUCAGGGACUGUAAAUGCAGCCAAGAUAAUAAUGAUUAACUGUUACACUCCUGAAGGUAAGGUCAAAUCCUAACCUUCAGAACCUGUGAAUGUGACCUUUGUAGAUGCUAAGUUCAGCUAGGGUUACACUGAAGAAUACAUAUGGCAAGAAGGUUACAGGCAGUGGGAGGCAGGAACGUAACUGGUGCUUCCACAAGCCAUGGACUGCAGGAUCUAGCAGGUAUGAGGAAGAGGUGUUCCCUGUGGAGUCAGGAAGAACAGGACUCUGCUCACUCAUUGUUUUCAUAAUUCAUCUCUGUUGUCUAAAGUCACCCAGAUGUCAGCACUUUGUGAUAGCAGUCACAAGACACUACAUGCUCCCAAUCAAGUGUCCCCUAGUCAUCCUGCAGUCCCUGGAAGGGUUCAUUCUUUAAGAGCCCUUACUAGUUCAGAGGCAUAACCUUUGAUCCCUGUAUCUACGGCCCCUCCUGGGUUGUGGCUGGGGAGAUGUCCAGGAUGGUUCCCUGGCAGAGCCCAAGCCUAGCAGGGGUGGGACACCAGCACGUAUCUGCUGAGUAAAGUCAUCCAAGAAGAACCUUCUGGACUCUCUGUGUGUCACAAGAUCAGCAGCAGUUAGAAGGCUGCCCUGGUGUUUCCCCUGGAAAUCCUCUAGCGCUUUUAUUCAAAUUAAGGCACUCAAUCUGUGAGCCCAGGCCAGAGCCAUAGUACCCCAGUGGACUUUCCAAGCAAGUUGGUUCUUACUGGAUAUGGGUUCCUACUAAGAACAGGGACCCGAAAUGGGGUUCAUUAAUCAGAGAGCAAGCCUUUAAAU